CGGGGGGAGCAAGCGUUGUUCGGAUUUACUGGGCGUAAAGGGCGCGUAGGCGGCGUGACAAGUCACUUGUGAAAUCUCCGGGCUUAACCCGGAGCGGCCAAGUGAUACUGUUGUGCUAGAGUGCGGAAGGGGCUACUGGAAUUCUCGGUGUAGCGGUGAAAUGCGUAGAUAUCGAGAGGAACACCUGCGGCGAAGGCGGGUAGCUGGGCCGACACUGACGCUGAGGCGCGAAAGCCAGGGGAGCGAACGGGAUUAGGUACCCCGGUAGUCCUGGCCUUAAACGAUGGAUACUUGGUGUCCGGGGUUACAUAGUCCCCGGGUGCCGGCGCUAACGCAUUAAGUAUCCCGCCUGGGGAGUACGGUCGCAAGACUG
Molecule: ribosomal RNA, 373 nt
Filed under: uncultured organism
Description: bacterial SSU rRNA
Rfam family: Bacterial small subunit ribosomal RNA
Source: RNAcentral